CCCCUAGAUGUUCUGGGCCGCACGCGCGCUACACUGAACAGUUCAACAAGUCUUAACCUUGGCCGAUAGGUCUGGGUAAUCUUUGAACGCUGUUCGUGAUUGGGAUAGACCUUUGCAAUUAUGGGUCUUCAACGAGGAAUUCCUAGUAAACGCAAGUCAUCAGCUUGCAUUGAUUACGUCCCUGUCCUUUGUACACACCGCCCGUCGCACCUACCGAUUGAAUGGUCCGGUGAAAUCUCGGGACGGCGGCUUGGUCGCUUGCGUCCGACUGCUGAAACUUGAUUAAACCAUAUCAUUUAGAGGAAGGUGAANUCGUANCA
This 320-nucleotide ribosomal RNA is filed under the name uncultured eukaryote. Its description in RNAcentral is "partial 18S ribosomal RNA". It matches the Rfam family "Eukaryotic small subunit ribosomal RNA", at positions 1470 to 1796 of the family's 1831-position model. The record is from RNAcentral.